UACGAAGGGUGCAAGCGUUACUCGGAAUUACUGGGCGUAAAGCGUGCGUAGGUGGUUCGUUAAGUCUGAUGUGAAAGCCCUGGGCUCAACCUGGGAAUGGCACUCGAUACUGGCCAGCUGGAGUAAGGUAGAGGAUGGUGGAAUUCCCGGUGUAGCGGUGAAAUGCGUAGAGAUCGGGAGGAACAUCUGUGGCGAAGGCGGCCAUCUGGACCAUUACUGACGCUGAGGAGCGAAAGCGUGGGGAGCGAACAGG
RNAcentral lists this ribosomal RNA (253 nucleotides) under uncultured bacterium. RNAcentral's name for it is "partial 16S ribosomal RNA". It matches the Rfam family "Bacterial small subunit ribosomal RNA", at positions 524 to 776 of the family's 1533-position model. The record is from RNAcentral.